ACGGAGGGAGCUAGCGUUGUUCGGAAUUACUGGGCGUAAAGCGCACGUAGGCGGCUUUGUAAGUUAGAGGUGAAAGCCCGGGGCUCAACCCCGGAAUUGCCUUUAAGACUGCAUCGCUUGAAUCCAGGAGAGGUGAGUGGAAUUCCGAGUGUAGAGGUGAAAUUCGUAGAUAUUCGGAAGAACACCAAUGGCGAAGGCGACUGACUGGACAUGUAUUGACGCUGAGGUACGAAAGCGUGGGGAGCAAACGGGA
This 253-nucleotide ribosomal RNA is filed under the name uncultured prokaryote. RNAcentral describes it as "partial 16S ribosomal RNA". It matches the Rfam family "Bacterial small subunit ribosomal RNA", at positions 525 to 777 of the family's 1533-position model. The record is from RNAcentral.